RNAcentral lists this long non-coding RNA (936 nucleotides) under Homo sapiens (human). RNAcentral describes it as "long non-coding RNA NONHSAT179349.1". The record is from RNAcentral. Lineage: Eukaryota; Metazoa; Chordata; Mammalia; Primates; Hominidae.
GCGGGCACCGGCCGACAUGGCGGCAGCGGUGGCGGCUGCGCUGGCGCGGCUUUUGGCGGCCUUUCUGCUCCUCGCGGCCCAGGUGGCCUGUGAGUACGGCAUGGUGCACGUGGUGGCCUGGCCCUGAGCUGGUCCUUUCUGGGUACCCUGGUGCCCUUGCCCUCUAGCCGGUGGGGCCGUGCUCGCCUGUGGUCCUAGCCAGGUGGCCUGAAGCCUGGCCCCUUUUCCAUCUUCUGUGAAAUGGGGCUGUGGUUGAGAGCUGGGGGCCUGGCAGGGCUGGUCACAGCACAGGGACAUGCCGACUGCUGGGCUGGGCAGGGUGCGUGGCCGCCCCUGAAGUGUAGUUUUGGAGUAAGAAGGAAUGGAGUUCAGGAAUUCCCUCACAGCUCUGCCUGUGGCUCUGGGCUGCCCCCGCCAGUGUUGCACCCUGAGCCUGGCAAUCCACGGAGGCCUGGUGCAGGGGCUCAGGGCCGAGGGCAGAGCAGGCCGGGCAGAGCCGAGAGUGCCAUCCCUGUCCGCACACGCUGCCGUCGUAGUUGAGAGAGGCCCUCAGUGGGUGCGGGGCUCAAGGCGGCUUAGUGGGCAGGCAUGGGCUGUGACAAGUAUCACUCAGGACUUGUAUGUGCGGUUCGGGAGUCCCACGGCCGAGGGAGGGAUUAGUGGCGCUUUUAGGCCUGGGGCCCUGUUGUCAGGUGAAGAAGGCUUGAUGCCCUUCGGCCUCCCUGUUCUUGGGUCCUCCUGGGGGGCCGGAGGCUGUCAGCUGCAGAGGGGGAGCCAGCAGGCGCCCCCAGCCUGACCCGAGCCUCGAGUGAGGGUCCCAGGAGAGGAGGCGAAUGGGCACAGAGCUGGGGGCCCACCCACUGCUGCGGGUGAUGCCUGCCGCUCCCUCCUCUGGGCCCCCAGGUCCCCCCGGGGGGUAAUAAGACGCAGUAUGAU